GAGUUUGAUCAUGGCUCAGGAUGAACGCUAGCGGCAGGCUUAACACAUGCAAGUCGAGGGGUAACAGGGUCUUCGGACCGCUGACGACCGGCGCACGGGUGCGUAACGCGUAUACAAUCUACCUUGUAGAGGGGGAUAGCCCGGGGAAACCCGGAUUAAUACCCCAUAGUAUUAAAGAGCAGCAUUGCUUUUUGAUUAAACAUUUAUGGCUACAAGAUGAGUAUGCGUUCUAUUAGCUAGUAGGUAAGGUAACGGCUUACCUAGGCUACGAUAGAUAGGGGUCCUGAGAGGGAGAUCCCCCACACUGGUACUGAGACACGGACCAGACUCCUACGGGAGGCAGCAGUGAGGAAUAUUGGACAAUGGGCGAGAGCCUGAUCCAGCCAUGCCGCGUGCAGGAAGACGGCCCUAUGGGUUGUAAACUGCUUUUAUACAGGAAGAAACACUCCCUCGUGAGGGAGCUUGACGGUACUGUAAGAAUAAGGAUCGGCUAACUCCAUGCCAGCAGCCGCGGUAAUACGGAGGAUCCAAGCGUUAUCCGGAAUCAUUGGGUUUAAAGGGUCCGUAGGCGGGACAAUAAGUCAGCGGUGAAAGUCUGUGGCUCAACCAUAGAAUUGCCAUUGAUACUGUUGUUCUUGAGUGUUUAUGAAGUGGUUAGAAUAUGUGGUGUAGCGGUGAAAUGCAUAGAUAUCACAUGGAAUACCGAUUGCGAAGGCAGAUCACUAAUAAAAUACUGACGCUGAUGGACGAAAGCGUAGGUAG
Molecule: ribosomal RNA, 762 nt
Filed under: uncultured Gillisia sp.
Lineage: Bacteria; Pseudomonadati; Bacteroidota; Flavobacteriia; Flavobacteriales; Flavobacteriaceae
Description: bacterial SSU rRNA
Rfam family: Bacterial small subunit ribosomal RNA
Source: RNAcentral